Molecule: ribosomal RNA, 247 nt
Filed under: uncultured bacterium
Lineage: Bacteria
Description: partial 16S ribosomal RNA
Rfam family: Bacterial small subunit ribosomal RNA
Source: RNAcentral
AUACGUAGGGGGCUAGCGUUAUCCGGAAUUACUGGGCGUAAAGGGCGUGUAGGCGGGAAUUUAAGUCAGAUGUGAAAGCCCCGGGCUUAACUUGGGGACUGCAUUUGAUACUGGAUUUCUUGAGGACAGGAGAGGAAAGCGGAAUUCCUAGUGUAGCGGUGAAAUGCGUAGAUAUUAGGAGGAACACCAGUGGCGAAGGCGGCUUUCUGGACUGUAACUGACGCUGAGGCGCGAAAGCGUGGGGAGC